CUACACCAUCAUACCACCUUGAAUGCACCUGCUUUUGUCUUAUUUCAGAAGCUAAGCAGGCUUGAACUUUGUUAACACUUAGAUGAGAAAUACCAGGGAGUGGCAGGGCUGGGAGGGA
This 118-nucleotide ribosomal RNA is filed under the name Pogona vitticeps (central bearded dragon). The record is from RNAcentral. Lineage: Eukaryota; Metazoa; Chordata; Lepidosauria; Squamata; Agamidae.